Molecule: ribosomal RNA, 428 nt
Filed under: uncultured bacterium
Lineage: Bacteria
Description: bacterial SSU rRNA
Rfam family: Bacterial small subunit ribosomal RNA
Source: RNAcentral
UCGAGAAUUUUUCUCAAUGGGGGAAACCCUGAAGGAGCGACGCCGCGUGGAGGAUGAAGGUCUUCGGAUUGUAAACUCCUGUCAUUGGUGAACAAGAUUCUGCCGUUAACUGCGGUGGAAUUUGAUAGUAGCCGAAGAGGAAGGGACGGCUAACUCUGUGCCAGCAGCCGCGGUAAUACAGAGGUCCCGAGCGUUGUUCGGAUUCAUUGGGCGUAAAGGGUGCGUAGGCGGCGGGGAAAGUCUGAUGUGAAAUCCUGGGGCUCAACCCUGGAACUGCAUUGGAUACUUCCUUGCUAGAGUACUGGAGAGGAAACUGGAAUUUACGGUGUAGCAGUGAAAUGCGUAGAGAUCGUAAGGAAGACCAGUGGCGAAGGCGAGUUUCUGGACAGUUACUGACGCUGAGGCACGAAGGCCAGGGGAGCAAACGG